AUUGAACGCUGGCGGCAGGCCUAACACAUGCAAGUCGAGCGGAUGAAGGGAGCUUGCUCCUGGAUUCAGCGGCGGACGGGUGAGUAAUGCCUAGGAAUCUGCCUGGUAGUGGGGGAUAACGUCCGGAAACGGGCGCUAAUACCGCAUACGUCCUGAGGGAGAAAGUGGGGGAUCCUCGGACCUCACGCUAUCAGAUGAGCCUAGGUCGGAUUAGCUAGUUGGUGGGGUAAAGGCCUACCAAGGCGACGAUCCGUAACUGGUCUGAGAGGAUGAUCAGUCACACUGGAACUGAGACACGGUCCAGACUCCUACGGGAGGCAGCAGUGGGGAAUAUUGGACAAUGGGUGAAAGCCUGAUCCAGCCAUGCCGCGUGUGUGAAGAAGGUCUUCGGAUUGUAAAGCACUUUAAGUUGGGAGGAAGGGCAGUAAGUUAAUACCUUGCUGUUUUGACGUUACCAACAGAAUAAGCACCGGCUAACUUCGUG
This 484-nucleotide ribosomal RNA is filed under the name uncultured bacterium. RNAcentral's name for it is "partial 16S ribosomal RNA". It matches the Rfam family "Bacterial small subunit ribosomal RNA", at positions 30 to 507 of the family's 1533-position model. The record is from RNAcentral.